Molecule: ribosomal RNA, 777 nt
Filed under: uncultured Leptotrichia sp.
Lineage: Bacteria; Fusobacteriati; Fusobacteriota; Fusobacteriia; Fusobacteriales; Leptotrichiaceae
Description: bacterial SSU rRNA
Rfam family: Bacterial small subunit ribosomal RNA
Source: RNAcentral
GAUGACUUACUUCCGGUUUACACAUGAAGUGAGGGCAGAUGGAAGAGUUGUUUUCUGAUGGGGCGGGACGGUCCUACGGUACAACUUCCUAUCUGGGGUAGCUUGGAAAGUAGUUAUACCGUGUUGUUUUUUCGAUGUGUAUACAAAGAUUAUGUAUGGAGGUGAGCGUCGUUGGAGAGGGGGUACGGCCACUUGUAUCGUCGGUAGGGUCUGGAGAAGUUCCCACACUGGAAUGAGAACGGCCAGACUCUACGGAGCAGCAGUGAGGAUAUUGGUCAAUGGCGGAAGUUUGAACCAGCCAAGUAGCGUGCAGGAUGACGGCCUCCGGGUUGUUACUGUUUUAGUUGGGAAUAAAAAGAGGGAGUGUCCUAAUUGAUGUACCUUAGAAAGGGCCGGCUAAUUCCGUGCAGCAGCCGCGGUAUACGGAAGGUCUAGGCGUUAUCCGGGAUUUAUUGGGGUUAAAAGGGAGCGAGGCGGAUUAUUAAAGUCAGUGGGUGAAAGACGGGGCCUCAACCAUCGUUAGCCAUUGAAACUGGUAGUCUUGAGUGCAGACAGGGAUGCUGGAACUCGUGGUGUAGCGGUGAAAUGCUUAGAUAUCACGAUGAAUCCGAUCGCAAGGCAGGGUCCGGCUUGAACUGACGCUGAGGUCGAAAUGGGUAUCAAACAGAUUAGUACCUGGUAGUCCAAGGGCGAAUUCACAGGGAUUAAGCUAAUCGUACCGUCGACCUCGAGGGGGACCGUACCCAGCUUUGUUCCCUUAGGAGGGUUAAAUUAACU